Molecule: long non-coding RNA, 300 nt
Organism: Gossypium arboreum
Lineage: Eukaryota; Viridiplantae; Streptophyta; Magnoliopsida; Malvales; Malvaceae
Exons: 4
Source: RefSeq, a predicted model, not a curated record
UUGAGGGUGAGUUUCUCACUAGAAAAUUGAAUUUGCUUUUUCAUGUCUGGUCUUUUUCUUUCUUCUCUUAUUAUUACAACUUGGGUCAUAAUGGAAUAUUGAUCUGUUCAGAUUCAGUUGGGCGGUUGCAAGGAACUGAUGUCAGGCAUGGAGGUUGCCAAAGAUUAAAAACUAGUAGACGGAACUGUUGCACAGGAAUCUGGAAAAUCCAUGCCGUCAUCUCAACAGGAGGUAUUAAUUCAAGCCCUCCGUCCCAAAUUGCAGAGUUGAGAAGGAAAGAGGAUGCAAUAGCACGAGGUA